AGUGAACGCUGGCGGUAGGCCUAACACAUGCAAGUCGAACGGCAGCACAGUAAGAGCUUGCUCUUACGGGUGGCGAGUGGCGGACGGGUGAGGAAUACAUCGGAAUCUACUUUUUCGUGGGGGAUAACGUAGGGAAACUUACGCUAAUACCGCAUACGACCUACGGGUGAAAGCAGGGGAUCUUCGGACCUUGCGCGAUUGAAUGAGCCGAUGUCGGAUUAGCUAGUUGGCGGGGUAAAGGCCCAACAAGGCGACGAUCCGUAGCUGGUCUGAGAGGAUGAGCAGCUACACUGGAACUGAGACACGGUCCAGACUCCGACGGUAGGCAGCAGUGGGGAAUAUUGGGCAAUGGGGGCAAGCCUGAUCCAGCCAUACCGCGUGGGUGAAGAAGGCCUUCGGGUUGUAAAGCCCUUUUGUUGGGAAAGAAAAGCAGCAGGUUAAUACCCCGCUGUUCUGACGGUACCCAAAGAAUAAGCACCGGCUAACUUCGUG
RNAcentral lists this ribosomal RNA (492 nucleotides) under uncultured bacterium. RNAcentral describes it as "partial 16S ribosomal RNA". It matches the Rfam family "Bacterial small subunit ribosomal RNA", at positions 29 to 507 of the family's 1533-position model. The record is from RNAcentral.